RNAcentral lists this ribosomal RNA (433 nucleotides) under uncultured bacterium. Its description in RNAcentral is "partial 16S ribosomal RNA". It matches the Rfam family "Bacterial small subunit ribosomal RNA", at positions 29 to 507 of the family's 1533-position model. The record is from RNAcentral.
AACGAACGCUGGCGGCAUGCCUAACACAUGCAAGUCGAACGAGACCUUCGGGUCUAGUGGCGCACGGGUGCGUAACGCGUGGGAAUCUGCCCUUCGGUUGGGAAUAACUGAGAGAAAUUUCAGCUAAUACCUUAUAAUGUCUUCGGACCAAAGAUUUAUCGCCGAGGGAUGAGCCCGCGUAGGAUUAGGUAGUUGGUGGGGUAAUGGCCUACCUAGCCGACGAUCCUUAGCUGGUCUGAGAGGAUGAUCAGCCACACUGGGACUGAGACACGGCCCAGACUCCUACGGGAGGCAGCAGUGGGGAAUAUUGGACAAUGGGCGAAAGCCUGAUCCAGCAAUGCCGCGUGAGUGAUGAAGGCCUUAGGGUUGUAAAGCUCUUUUACCCGGGAUGAUAAUGACAGUACCGGGAGAAUAAGCUCCGGCUAACUCCGUG